GAAAGCUAGGGGAGCGAAUAGGAUUAGAUACCCUAGUAGUCCUAGCCGUAAAUGAGUUUUAGGCCCAUAAGUACUUUUUGGAAAUGUAGCGAUCGUUUUGGUUUGAA
This 107-nucleotide ribosomal RNA is filed under the name Olea europaea subsp. europaea. Its description in RNAcentral is "SSU_rRNA_archaea". The record is from RNAcentral. Lineage: Eukaryota; Viridiplantae; Streptophyta; Magnoliopsida; Lamiales; Oleaceae.